This 2140-nucleotide ribosomal RNA is filed under the name marine metagenome. RNAcentral describes it as "bacterial LSU rRNA". It matches the Rfam family "Bacterial large subunit ribosomal RNA", at positions 3 to 1991 of the family's 2925-position model. The record is from RNAcentral.
CCAAGCUACUAAGGGCCAACGGUGAAUGCCUUGGCGACUACUACCGAUGAAGGACGUGGGUGGCUGCGAAAAGCCACGGUGAGCUGCCGACCGAGCUACGACCCGUGGAUAUCCGAAUAGGGAAACCUGGCACUCGUAAUGGAGUGUCACUCCGGCCUGAACACAUAGGGCCGGUAGAGGGAACUGGGUGAACUGAAACAUCUCAUUAACCCGAGGAAAUGAAAGCAACAGCGACUCCCCAAGUAGCGGCGAGCGAAAAGGGAAGAGCCUAAACCUGACUGGUGUCAAGCCUGGCGGCGUUGCCAGUUGGGGGUUGUGGGACCGAAUGGGAGGAGCGUCAGAUCCUCCACGGAGUUACAAAUCUGCCAGCUAGCAGAAGUGUUUUGGAACAGCACGCCAUAGUGGGUAAGAGCCCCGUAAGCGAAAGCUGAGCAGACUCCGAUUCGUGCUCCCGAGUAACACCGGAUCCGGGAAAGCCGGUGUGAAUCUGCGAGGACCACCUCGUAAGGCUAAGUAUACGUAGUCGACCGAUAGCGAACUAGUACCGUGAGGGAAAGGUGAAAAGUACCCCGGGAGGGGAGUGAAAUAGUACCUGAAACCGUUGGUUUACAAUCAGUCAAAGCGUCGUCUGGAACUUCGGUUCCAGGCCGCAAUGGCGUGCCUUUUGAAGAAUGAGCCUACGAGUUACGGUGUGUGGCAAGGUUAACCCGUGAGGGGAAGCCGGAGCGAAAGCGAGUCUGAACAGGGCGUUCAGUCGCAUGCUGUAGACCCGAAGCCGAGUGAUCUAUCCAUGGGCAGUGUGAAGCGGGGGUAAGACCCCGUGGAGGCGCGAACCGACCUAGGUUGAAAACUGGGCGGAUGACCUGUGGAUAGGGGUGAAAGGCCAAUCAAACUCGGUGAUAGCUGGUUCUCCGCGAAAUGCAUUUAGGUGCAGCGUCGCAUGUUCAGCCAUGGAGGUAGAGCACUGGAUGGGUUAGGGGGCCUACAAGCUUACCGACCCCAGCCAAACUCCGAAUGCCAUGGCUCCAGAGUGCGGCAGUGAGUCCUCGGGGGAUGAGCUUCGAUGGACGAAAGGGAAACAGCCCAGACCGCCGACUAAGGCCCCAAAGUUCUGACUAAGUGGUAAACGAAGUGGGAUUGCACAGACAGCCAGGAUGUUGGCUUAGAAGCAGCCACCAUUGAAAGAGUGCGUAACAGCUCACUGGUCGAGUGAUCCCGCGCGGAAAAUGUAACGGGGCUCAAGUCAGACGCCGAAGUCGCGGACUUCUGCUUUGCAGGAGUGGUAGCGGAGCGUCGAGCCUGGAGUGAAGCGGCGGUGUAAACCGACGUGGACCGGGUUCGAGUGAGAAUGUAGGCAUGAGUAGCGAGAGAGGGGUGAGAAACCCCUCCGCCGGAAGUCCAAGGGUUCCUGGGGAAGGCUAAUCCUCCCAGGGUGAGUCGGGAGCUAAGGCGAGGCCGAGAGGCGUAGUCGAUGCACAACCGGUUGAUAUUCCGGUACCACGGGUUGCGCGACAAACGCCGACCUGCAGUUGCUAAGGGGAUGGGCGAUCCUUCGGGAUCGUCAGGAACCGACCCACUGCGGCGAGGCGAGUGAUGCGGGGACGCAGGAAGGUAGAUGAACCCAGGCGAUGGUUGUCCUGGGGCAAGCGUGUAGGUCGAGGCGUAGGUAAGUCCGCUCCUCACGAAGACCGAGACGUGACGCCGAGCCGUUCAAGGCGAAGUCAUUGAUCCUCAGCUGCCAAGAAAAGCCGCUAGCGAGUGCAACAAGUGCCCGUACCCCAAACCAACUCAGGUGGACAGGUAGAGAAUACCAAGGCGAUUGGGAGAACUAUGGUUAAGGAACUCGGCAAAUUGCAUCCGUAACUUCGGGAGAAGGAUGACCGCAUUAGAGUGAAAAGGCUUUUCGCCUUGAGCUCGAAGCGGUGGCACAAACCAGGGGAAAGCGACUGUUUACUAAAAACACAGCAGCGUGCUAAGUCCUAAGACGACGUAUACGCUGUGACGCCUGCCCGGUGCCGGAAGGUUACGGGGAAGGGUCAGCCUUCGGGCGAAGCUCUGAACCUAAGCCCCGGUAAACGGCGGCCGUAACUAUAACGGUCCUAAGGUAGCGAAAUUCCUUGUCGGGUAAGUUCCGACCUGC